UACGUAGGUGGCAAGCGUUAUCCGGAAUUACUGGGCGUAAAGCGCACGCAGGCGGUCUUUUAAGUUUGACGUGAAAGCUCUCGGCUUAACUGGGAGAGGUCGUUGAAUACUGGGAGACUUGAGGAAAUGAGAGGGGUGUAGAAUUCCCGGUGUAGUGGUGGAAUGCGUAGAUAUCGGGGGGAAUACCAGUGGCGAAAGCGGCACCCUAGCAUUUUUCUGACGCUCAUGUGCGAAAGCGUGGGGAGCGAACGGG
Molecule: ribosomal RNA, 253 nt
Filed under: uncultured bacterium
Lineage: Bacteria
Description: partial 16S ribosomal RNA
Rfam family: Bacterial small subunit ribosomal RNA
Source: RNAcentral